This 377-nucleotide ribosomal RNA is filed under the name uncultured eukaryote. RNAcentral's name for it is "partial 18S ribosomal RNA". It matches the Rfam family "Eukaryotic small subunit ribosomal RNA", at positions 592 to 976 of the family's 1831-position model. The record is from RNAcentral.
CAAUAGCGUAUAUUUAAGUUGUUGCAGUUAAAAAGCUCGUAGUUGGAUUUCGGGUGGGAAUGGCCGGUCCGCCGUUUCGGUGUGCACUUGCUACGCCCACCUUGCUGCCGGGGACGUGCUCUUGAGUUCACGCUCGGGACACGGAGUCGGCGAGGUUACUUUGAGUAAAUUAGAGUGUUCAAAGCAGGCCUACGCUCUGAAUACAUUAGCAUGGAAUAACACGAUAGGACUCUGGCCUAUCUUGUUGGUCUGUAGGACCGGAGUAAUGAUUAAGAGGGACAGUCGGGGGCAUUCGUAUUUCAUUGUCAGAGGUGAAAUUCUUGGAUUUAUGAAAGACGAACUACUGCGAAAGCAUUUGCCAAGGAUGUUUUCAUUAA